CAUCAUGUAACCAAUUAGACAAGAUAUGUCUCAAUUUGUUCAGCAUUGGGGCCAUGGUGUGACCGGAAGCUUUGGCCCGAGCAAGCGAAGAUAGACGCAGCAGCACUCGUUAAAUUGAUGAGCUGAGAUAGUUUCUGACUUCACCAUCUGGAAUUCUAGUCUGGGGUUCUGCUAAAAGCUGCUGACCCACGUUUCAAC
Molecule: small RNA, 198 nt
Filed under: Hucho hucho (huchen)
Lineage: Eukaryota; Metazoa; Chordata; Actinopteri; Salmoniformes; Salmonidae
Description: WT1 antisense RNA conserved region 7 (ENSHHUG00000032983.1)
Rfam family: WT1 antisense RNA conserved region 7
Source: RNAcentral